AGCUUUGCACAGUGGCAGUAUUAUAGCUGGUGAGGUUUAUCCAAAGCGUGAUUAUUGCUAAUUGUCAUUAUGACAUAAAAACUUUAAUAAUAUGUAUGCACAUGGUUAGAAAGUGUAAGCAAACUGCAAUGUG
This 133-nucleotide small nuclear RNA is filed under the name Tupaia belangeri chinensis (Chinese tree shrew). RNAcentral describes it as "Tupaia chinensis (Chinese tree shrew) U4 spliceosomal RNA". It matches the Rfam family "U4 spliceosomal RNA". Rfam says of the family: U4 small nuclear RNA (U4 snRNA) is a component of the major U2-dependent spliceosome. The structure of U4 snRNA from yeast and human has been reported. U4 snRNA presents a k-turn RNA motif in the 5p-SL related to recognition of Snu13 protein. The record is from Rfam by way of RNAcentral. Lineage: Eukaryota; Metazoa; Chordata; Mammalia; Scandentia; Tupaiidae.